UUUUUUAUUUCUGGAAUAUUAUUUCUUCACUCCUUUCUCCUAUGAUUGAAAUCUCCUGGAUCCUUCAAUUCUCAGGGAUAAAAACAAGUCUCAACGGAUCCUACUGAGCACACCUGAAUGUGAUUCUGGUCCCUUGAGACCACUGUUGGGAACCUCGUGGUCAUCGGGAUAUAAUUUCUGAGAAGAACUACAGAGAAGG
Enhydra lutris kenyoni (northern sea otter) is the source of this 199-nucleotide long non-coding RNA. RefSeq lists it as uncharacterized. The transcript is spliced from 3 exons. Lineage: Eukaryota; Metazoa; Chordata; Mammalia; Carnivora; Mustelidae. The record is from RefSeq and is a predicted model, not a curated record.